CCGGCACGGGUGAGUAACACGUAUCCAACCUGCCGUCUACUCUUGGACAGCCUUCUGAAAGGAAGAUUAAUACAAGAUGGCAUCAUGAGUCCGCAUGUUCACAUGAUUAAAGGUAUUCCGGUAGACGAUGGGGAUGCGUUCCAUUAGGUAGUAGGCGGGGUAACGGCCCACCUAGUCUUCGAUGGAUAGGGGUUCUGAGAGGAAGGUCCCCCACAUUGGAACUGAGACACGGUCCAA
RNAcentral lists this ribosomal RNA (237 nucleotides) under uncultured bacterium. Its description in RNAcentral is "partial 16S ribosomal RNA". It matches the Rfam family "Bacterial small subunit ribosomal RNA", at positions 100 to 334 of the family's 1533-position model. The record is from RNAcentral.